RNAcentral lists this ribosomal RNA (465 nucleotides) under uncultured bacterium. RNAcentral describes it as "partial 16S ribosomal RNA". It matches the Rfam family "Bacterial small subunit ribosomal RNA", at positions 28 to 507 of the family's 1533-position model. The record is from RNAcentral.
GACGAACGCUGGCGGCGUGCUUAACACAUGCAAGUCGAACGGAAAGGCCCUGCUUGCAGGGUACUCGAGUGUCGAACGGGUGAGUAACACGUUGGUGAUCUGCCCUUCACUUCUUGUUAAGCCUGGUAAACUGUGUCUACUACCGGAUAUGAGCCAUUUUUAUUUUUUUUGUUGGAAAGUUUUUUGGGUGUGGUAUGAGCUCGCGGCCUAUCAGCUUGUUGGUGGGGUAAUGGCCUACCAAGGCGGCGACGGGUAGCCGGCCUGAGAGGGUGGACGGCCAAAAAGGGAAUGAGAUAAGGCCCAGAAUGCUACGGGGGGAAGAAGUGGGGAAAAUUGAAAAAUGGGAGCAAGGCUGAUGCAGAGACGCCGCGUGGGGGAUGACGGGCUUCGGGUUGUAAAAAAAAAUCGAUAGGGAAGAAGCAUUUUGUGACGGUAACUAGAUAAGAAGCACCGGCUAACUACGUG